Molecule: transfer RNA, 58 nt
Filed under: Bacillota bacterium
Lineage: Bacteria; Bacillati; Bacillota
Description: tRNA-Ala
Rfam family: tRNA
About the family: Transfer RNA (tRNA) molecules are approximately 80 nucleotides in length. Their secondary structure includes four short double-helical elements and three loops (D, anti-codon, and T loops).
Source: RNAcentral
AGCUCAGCUGGGAGAGCGCCAGGUUCGCAAUCUGGAGGUCGCGGGUUCGAUCCCCGUC